CAAUAGCGUAUAUUAAAGUUGUUGCAGUUAAAAAGCUCGUAGUUGGAUUUCUGGUGGGAGCGAUCGGUCUGGCGCUUAGCGCGAGUACUUGCAUCGUCUCCGGCCAUCCUUGGGGAGAGUCUGUCUGGCAUUAAGUUGUCGGGCAGAGGAUCCUCAUCGAUUACUGUGAAAAAAUUAGAGUGUUCAAAGCAGGCUUAUGCCGUUGAAUAUAUUAGCAUGGAAUAAUAAGAUAGGACUUUGGUACUAUUUUGUUGGUUUGCGCACCAAAGUAAUGAUUAAUAGGGACAGUUGGGGGUAUUCGUAUUCCGUUGUCAGAGGUGAAAUUCUUGGAUUUACGGAAGACGAACUACUGCGAAAGCAUUUACCAAGGAUGUUUUCAUUAA
This 383-nucleotide ribosomal RNA is filed under the name uncultured eukaryote. Its description in RNAcentral is "partial 18S ribosomal RNA". It matches the Rfam family "Eukaryotic small subunit ribosomal RNA", at positions 592 to 976 of the family's 1831-position model. The record is from RNAcentral.